This 333-nucleotide ribosomal RNA is filed under the name uncultured bacterium. RNAcentral describes it as "bacterial SSU rRNA". It matches the Rfam family "Bacterial small subunit ribosomal RNA", at positions 568 to 898 of the family's 1533-position model. The record is from RNAcentral.
CGUGUAGGCGGCUCAUCAAGUCUGGUGUGAAAACGCAAGGCCUAACCUUGCGGAUGCACUGGAAACUGGUGGGCUUGAGUUCCUGGAGGGGAAGCUGGAAUUCCGAGGUGUAGGGGUGAAAUCUGUAGAUAUCUGGAAGAACACCGGUGGCGAAGGCGAGCUUCUAUCAGAGGACUGACGCUGAGGCGCGAAAGCGUGGGGAGCGAAACAGGAUUAGAUACCCUGGUAGUCCACGCUGUAAACGAUGUGCACUAGGCGUGGGGCCCGUACGGGUUCUGUGCCGUAGUUAACGUGUUAAGUGCACCGCCUGGGGAGUAUGCUCGCAAGGGUGAA